AGGCCACAUGCUUCUUUAUAUCCCCAUACGGAUUACUUUGCUAUGGAAUGUAAGGAAGUGUGUGGUUU
Molecule: microRNA precursor, 68 nt
Organism: Marmota marmota marmota (Alpine marmot)
Lineage: Eukaryota; Metazoa; Chordata; Mammalia; Rodentia; Sciuridae
Gene: MIR206
Product: microRNA 206
Source: Ensembl